AGCAUGAUAGCUCAGUAGGAAGAGCGGUGAGCUCAUAACCCACCCAUAAGCCCCUGGAUCGAGAUCAGUUCAUGCUA
This is a non-coding RNA of Acephala macrosclerotiorum, 77 nucleotides long. NCBI's taxonomy places the organism in Eukaryota, Fungi, Ascomycota, Leotiomycetes, Helotiales, Mollisiaceae. The record is from the annotation of a GenBank genome assembly.